RNAcentral lists this ribosomal RNA (835 nucleotides) under Micromonospora sp. IM-7241. Its description in RNAcentral is "bacterial SSU rRNA". It matches the Rfam family "Bacterial small subunit ribosomal RNA", at positions 38 to 889 of the family's 1533-position model. The record is from RNAcentral. Lineage: Bacteria; Bacillati; Actinomycetota; Actinomycetes; Micromonosporales; Micromonosporaceae.
GGCGGCGUGCUUAACACAUGCAAGUCGAGCGGAAAGGCCCUUCGGGGUACUCGAGCGGCGAACGGGUGAGUAACACGUGAGCAACCUGCCCUAGGCUUUGGGAUAACCCCGGGAAACCGGGGCUAAUACCGAAUAGGACCUGGCCUCGCAUGAGGUUGGGUGGAAAGUUUUUCGGCCUGGGAUGGGCUCGCGGCCUAUCAGCUUGUUGGUGGGGUGAUGGCCUACCAAGCCGACGACGGGUAGCCGGCCUGAGAGGGCGACCGGCCACACUGGGACUGAGACACGGCCCAGACUCCUACGGGAGGCAGCAGUGGGGAAUAUUGCACAAUGGGCGGAAGCCUGAUGCAGCGACGCCGCGUGAGGGAUGACGGCCUUCGGGUUGUAAACCUCUUUCAGCAGGGACGAAGCGUAAGUGACGGUACCUGCAGAAGAAGCGCCGGCCAACUACGUGCCAGCAGCCGCGGUAAGACGUAGGGCGCGAGCGUUGUCCGGAUUUAUUGGGCGUAAAGAGCUCGUAGGCGGCUUGUCGCGUCGACUGUGAAAACCCGCAGCUCAACUGCGGGCCUGCAGUCGAUACGGGCAGGCUAGAGUUCGGUAGGGGAGACUGGAAUUCCUGGUGUAGCGGUGAAAUGCGCAGAUAUCAGGAGGAACACCGGUGGCGAAGGCGGGUCUCUGGGCCGAUACUGACGCUGAGGAGCGAAAGCGUGGGGAGCGAACAGGAUUAGAUACCCUGGUAGUCCACGCUGUAAACGUUGGGCGCUAGGUGUGGGGGGCCUCUCCGGUUCCCUGUGCCGCAGCUAACGCAUUAAGCGCCCCGCCUGGGGAGUACGGCCGC